AAACAUACCGUUUAAACAUCUAGAUAUGCCGUUUAAAUGUCUAGAUAUGUUUGGUGUGUUAGAUGCAAUUUCGAGAAGUAAUUUUAGAGAACGAUAAUGAUUAUUUGCGUAAUUUGUGUUUAUAAUUUGUGAUUAGUGAUUUAGUGAUUUGUGAAUCAGUUUUUGUGCAAAAAGUAAAAGUGAAUUUAGAGUGGAUUUAAAAAGAAAAAGCUGAUGAGAAAUUUCCUUUUCUGAGAGAAUAAUUGACUUAUAUAAAUAUAUAAGUUUCUUAUUUUUUUGAAAAAGCAUUUUGAUCUUAGCUCUGUUUCAGGUGUAGCUGUAAUCUGGAUUUUAAAUUAUAUUUUAUAAAUAUCAUAAGAUAUCAUAUCUAUAAAGAUGGGUAGCAAAAAACUCCAUGGUGUGCAAUAUCAGAAUGUAUGUCAACAUUGGAUGUAGAGAAACGUUUCCUUUUCAGAUUUCCUAAGAAACAUGAUAGAUGAUUGCAAUAGGUGAAAGCAUGCAAAAAGAUGGAUUUAAAACCAAAAGGACCAGAAUAUGCUUACCAAAAUUGCAGAUUGUGCCAUUUACAUUUUGAUAAAAAAUGAUACAAAUUAAAUGAAAGUAGAGCUCGUCUUCCUGAUGCCAUCCUAAUAAUAUUUUUUGGAUCAGGUUUUAACAUAGAAAAUGAUAUAACAAAUAAAAUAGAAAAAUAACAUG
Molecule: long non-coding RNA, 696 nt
Organism: Pogonomyrmex barbatus (red harvester ant)
Lineage: Eukaryota; Metazoa; Arthropoda; Insecta; Hymenoptera; Formicidae
Source: RefSeq, a predicted model, not a curated record